CUUCAGGACUUUGGGUGAAGUAGUGUUUAAAAUAGUAGACAGGUGGUGGGGGGCAUAUGUGUGAAUGCAUAUAUAUCAAUGUACGUGUACAAACCGUACAGAGACCGAACCCAUAUUUCCAUGCUUAUUUACUUGGCCAUGUUAUGUUGAGACACAGUCACCAGUGUAAUCCAAUAUACAUAUACAGACACAAAACAAAUGAUUCAACUUCUGAGUCUCUUCUUGUCCUGCCACUGAAGAAAUAGGACAAAAAUACCUAUCAAAGCCUUUGAAAAAGAGAGAACAUGGUUUCCAAUCCCAAAAAAGAAAAUUUGCCUUUGUUUUCCAACAUUUCAUUUCUUCAAGAUGAACCAAGAAACCCCUUUAAAUUAUCUUGAAAAUGGAAGUUGAAAAAACCCGUGUAUUUUGUGUUCGCAGGGUAAGAGGGUUUUGCUGGUGGCGACAAGGGAAGUUUUGGCAUAUAAUGAAGCCUGAUGCUACAAUUUCUUGUGCAGCUUUCAAGAAAAUGGUGGUGGAGAAAUUGCCUGUUUUUUCUGGCUCUUUUUUGAGUUGUGCUGGUUCCCAAAAUCCAUAUUUGCAAAUGGGGUUUGGUUUCUUUCUCCUCUUCUGUUACCUAGGUGGCUCGUGACGGCGGCGGCGGCGGUGGUGAUGGUGUGAUAUUGGCGGGACGGCUCAAUCUUUUAUUUGUGACAUAAAUUUUUGUUCUCCACUUCAUUUGGUUAAUCACCAUGUUUAUAAACAAUGGAUUUGCAAAGAGUUCAUAUUACAACUCAUCAAGGUUGGCUUCUUUAAUUUCUAAUUUCUUAUAUUCCAG
This 814-nucleotide long non-coding RNA is filed under the name Olea europaea subsp. europaea. Lineage: Eukaryota; Viridiplantae; Streptophyta; Magnoliopsida; Lamiales; Oleaceae. The record is from RNAcentral.